RNAcentral lists this ribosomal RNA (465 nucleotides) under uncultured bacterium. RNAcentral describes it as "partial 16S ribosomal RNA". It matches the Rfam family "Bacterial small subunit ribosomal RNA", at positions 28 to 507 of the family's 1533-position model. The record is from RNAcentral.
GACGAACGCUGGCGGCGUGCUUAACACAUGCAAGUCGAACGGAAAGGCCCCUUUGGGGGUACUUGAGUGGCGAACGGGUGAGUAACACGUGAGUAACCUGCCCUCGACUUCGGGAUAACUUCAGGAAACUGGGGCUAAUACCGGAUAGGAAUCCUUGCUGCAUGGUGGGGGUUGGAAAGCUUCGGCGGUUUUGGAUGGACUCGCGGCUUAUCAGCUUGUUGGUGGGGUAGUGGCUUACCAAGGCUUUGACGGGUAGCCGGCCUGAGAGGGCGACCGGCCACAUUGGGACUGAGAUACGGCCCAGACUCCUACGGGAGGCAGCAGUGGGGAAUAUUGCACAAUGGGCGGAAGCCUGAUGCAGCAACGCCGCGUGCGGGAUGACGGCCUUCGGGUUGUAAACCGCUUUCAGCAGGGGCGAAGCUUGUGGUGACGGUACCUGCAGAAGAAGCACCGGCUAACUACGUG